GGGCGAGUAGUUCAGCCCGGUAGAAUACCCCCUUGGCAUGGGGGAGGCCGUGGGUGAAGCUUUUCUUUGCAAAAGAAAAGCUCCAGGACCAAAAGAAAGCAGUUUCCUGCUUCGCAGGAUUCUACUUUGAAUUUUGGCUAGGAUGAAAGGCUUCCACGACUUCAAAUCCCACCUCGUCCA
This 180-nucleotide transfer RNA is filed under the name Candidatus Aenigmatarchaeota archaeon. Its description in RNAcentral is "tRNA-Ala". It matches the Rfam family "tRNA". Rfam says of the family: Transfer RNA (tRNA) molecules are approximately 80 nucleotides in length. Their secondary structure includes four short double-helical elements and three loops (D, anti-codon, and T loops). Lineage: Archaea; Nanobdellati; Candidatus Aenigmatarchaeota. The record is from RNAcentral.